CAUGCAGUCGACGGUAACAGACAGAAUCUUGCUCUCUUUGCUGACAAGUGCUGACGACGUGAGUAACGCGUGGUGAAUCUACCUCGUAGUUGGGGAUAGCCCGGAGAAACCGGAUUAAUACCCAAUAACUUCUCCGGAUGAAAAGGUGCCUCUGCUUGCGGCAAUUGCUAUGAGAUGAGCCCGCGUUAGAUUAUUUAUUUGAUGGGGUGUGGCCUACCAAGACGACCAUCUAGCUAUGGUUUGAAACGAUGAUCAGCCGAUUGGGACUGAGACGCGGCCGAGACUCCUACCAGAGGCCGCCGUGGGGAAUAUUGGACAAUGGUUGAAAACCGGAUCCAGCCCUACCGCGUGUGUGACGAGGGGCUUCGGAUUGUCUAGCACUUUUAUGUCCGAUUAAGGAUUGAGUGUUGAUACCGCUUUAUUUUGAUCGUACUAGGAGGAUAACCGCCGGCUAACUCCGUGCCAACUCCCGGGGUAAUACGGAGGGUGCGAGGGGGUAAUCGGAAAUACUGGGCGUUAAGGGCACGUAGGCGGCCUGGUCAGUCCCAAUGUGAAAAUCCCCCGGACUUACCCUGGGCAACUGCGGUGGAAAACUGUUUGG
Molecule: ribosomal RNA, 601 nt
Filed under: uncultured Gammaproteobacteria bacterium
Lineage: Bacteria; Pseudomonadati; Pseudomonadota; Gammaproteobacteria
Description: bacterial SSU rRNA
Rfam family: Bacterial small subunit ribosomal RNA
Source: RNAcentral